Mustela lutreola (European mink) is the source of this 2621-nucleotide long non-coding RNA. RefSeq lists it as uncharacterized. Lineage: Eukaryota; Metazoa; Chordata; Mammalia; Carnivora; Mustelidae. The record is from RefSeq and is a predicted model, not a curated record. The transcript has 4 exons.
AAGUGUUUUAUUGAUGCCAGUGGAAUGAACGUCGCUAUUCCAUGCUGAAAUGCCCUUUAUUCUUCCUCAAUGUAGCUAAUUUUUCAGGGCACAACUCUCAGGAGAACACCUAGUGACGUCAAUUCUUCAGAGGAGAAUUUCCUCCACCAGAAGGUGUCAAAGAGCAAGAUGUGCUGAAGGACUACAUAUACUUCCAAAGUCACUAAGUACCUGUCCAUAGACAGAGCAUCCAUAUUUUCAGAUUGAACAUGACAUAAGAAGAAUAAAAAUGAGUAUUGGGUCAUAUAUCUGAGAUGUACACCGUGAGCAAUAACAGAAGACAGAGCCCAAGCAGGAGUACUCUGAUGUCCCAUAAUCCAGAAGACCAAAGCAAUGAUAAAGCUUCUGGGCCAUACAAAAUCAGGGGAUGGCCUGAUUUGGCACGUGGAUUAUAAUUUGCCACCCCCUGAUUGAAAGUAUUGUGAGCAAGUCUCCAUUGACAGAAUGAAAGCAGGAUGAGAUGAAGGUAAGAUGCUUGAUAUCACCGUGUGUAAGGAAAAAUAGGAAUCGACGUACACACUUAGUUUGGAAUUCAACAUUCAGGGGUGCCUGGAUGGCUCAGUUGGUUAAGCAUCUGCCUUCAUCUCAGGUCAUGAUCCCAGGGUCCUGGCAUCGAGCCCUGCUUCUGGUUCCUUGCUCAGUGGGGAACCGGCUUCUCCCUCUCCCUCUGUGACUUCCUCAUUUGUGCUCUCUCACUUUCCCUGUCAAAUAAAUAAAUAAAACCUUUACUUAAAACAAAAAACAAAAAACAAAACCAGAAUUGAGCAUUAAUUGCUGCAAGGGGCUUUGGUGGUAUGGUACUGGGUGAGGAAGAGGCAGAAAGCAGUGUUUCUGACCAGCUCCAGGGUGCAUGGAGGCUGGGCUGACUUGGCCUGCAAGAGAACUCAGGUUAAAGCUCUUUCAAUGCACCUCUGUCUUGUCUUUUUAAAAUUUGCUCUGAGCUCAUGCUGAGGAGUGGAUGGGAUUUUGAAUACUUUCAGCCUCAUCAUUUUCCAACUUCCCUGUCCACUUUGGCAAUAUAAUUUUUAGUCACGGAUGACUCAAAACACGAAGAUCAAUUACCAGGUCUCACCUCCAUGGAUUCUGACUCUGGUGGGAUGGGGGCCUAUGAAAUCUGCAUUUUUAACAAAUCAUCCAGAGUGUUUUGAUGGGUCUUACAGCUGGUGGGCAAAAUACUGAUUACUGUCUUUUCUAAUCCAAGUUUGGCUUUUGUCUUUUCUUAGACCAUUUUUCAUCUGCAGUUCCUUCUCAUUUCCUAGUCUUAAACACUCAGCUGUGGCUUGGGUCUGGCCUCUCUUGGGGGGACAGCUUAUGGAACAGAGGUUCAAUGUGUCCUUAUCCUCCACUGCAGCCAAAGUAAUCUUUUCAGAAUUCCAUAGCGGCCCAUGUUGAUACCUUGCUAAAUCCUCCUUUGCUUUUCCUUUGCAUUUGGAAUCAAGGUAAACUCCUCAACAAGGCCUGCUUAGUUUGUUUCCUCCAGCCCUCUACAUUUUCAUCCUAACCUCCAUCCCAGUUGUGCUGGCUCCCUUUUCCUCCCAUGUCCUCUUCAUGCCUCUUCCUACUGCAGGGCCUUUGUACUUUGCCUGUUCCACUGUGCCUUCUCCUGCUCUUGGUUGAUAUCUACAUGGGCUUUAUUUCACUUUAUUAUUAUUUUUGUUACAUAUUUAUUAACUUUUUCUUUUAAUUUCUUUUCAGUGUUCCAGAAUUCAUUGUUUAUACACCACACCCAAGUGACAUUUCCUCAUGAAAGCUCUUUCUGACCUUGGCAACUAUAAAUGUGGCACUAGUCCUGGGGUCAGUUUUACACUUGGGUUUGGGGGGAGUUAUUUUGUGAUUAUUUGACAAAGGUCUGUCUCUCCCACGAGACUGCAAGCUUCAUGAGGACAAAGCUCAAGUUAAUACUUGGCUCCCAUGUGUAUCUCCCAAUGCGCAGCAUUUUUCCUGGAUCAACAGUCAUUUGUUGAGUGAAUGAACAAGUGGAUGAAUGAAUGAAUGAGAGAAAACUGUGGCUUAUGUUUUAUGCUCCAGGCAAUCUGAAAAUUUGAGUGUGUUCUGGUUCUGCAACUAUGAUACACACUAACCUUUCCAUAUGAAACCAACAGUGAGACAUCUGAGAGGACUUCAUGCCAUCCUGCUGCACCUUGAAUAUAAGGAGGUUGGUCCCCAAACCAGCAUGGUGCCAGAUUUGAUAAAAGCACAAUUGCCAAUGUCAGUGAAGGGGGCUGGGCAAUGACCCCAACCAUAGUAUGCAAAUACAGAGGAGAAUACGAGAAAAGGAGGAAGAAUUUCUUGAGAAUGAGAAUAAUAAUAAAAUGAAGGUUACCAAAUGCCAAAGAGAAGAAAGAGAAUGAGGUACCCCAAAUUUUAUGCAUCAAAUUUGUAUCACAGGUGAUAUCAAUUGGUACAUACAUUUUUGGUCAAAGUCAAGUGUAGAGCUCUGGCCACAUUCUACCAAACUGUAGAAUGGAAAAUAAAAUGACGACACGGCCUGUUAUCUGCAUGAAUGUCUGAUUCUAGAUUUUCAACUUUUGACAAAUACAUAUUUUUAUAGUUUUGAUAUGCAAACUAUUAGUAUAUGCUCU